Molecule: ribosomal RNA, 253 nt
Filed under: uncultured bacterium
Lineage: Bacteria
Description: partial 16S ribosomal RNA
Rfam family: Bacterial small subunit ribosomal RNA
Source: RNAcentral
UACGUAGGCAGCAAGCGUUGUUCGGAAUUACUGGGCGUAAAGAGUGUGUAGGCGGUGCUCCAAGUCUGGUGUGAAGUCUCCCGGCUUAACUGGGAGGGUGCAUUAGAAACUGGAAUGCUAGAGGAUGGGAGAGGUAAGCGGAAUUCCUGGUGUAGCGGUGAAAUGCGUAGAUAUCAGGAGGAACACCUGUGGUGUAGGCAGCUUACUGGACCAUUUCUGACGCUGAGACACGAAAGCGUGGGUAGCAAACAGG